RNAcentral lists this long non-coding RNA (224 nucleotides) under Elaeis guineensis (African oil palm). RNAcentral describes it as "long non-coding RNA (EGUI_LNC068101)". The record is from RNAcentral. Lineage: Eukaryota; Viridiplantae; Streptophyta; Magnoliopsida; Arecales; Arecaceae.
AUGUGAAGACGCCCUUCUGCUCUAUCAGGCAUCCCAGCCAAGCUUCAACUGACAGAUCCAAACUCUCUGACAAGCCACGAUAAGAGCCGCCACCCUGCUCCACUCUCUACAACGGAUUCCAUGCAGCUCCACCACUCUCUGGCAAGUCACGACAACGGACACCACUUCACUCUCCGUAGCAAGCUCCACGUGGCCUUAGGUGACCUUUGACGCCACUACUCUCC